AGUAAAUAAAAUGCUUUAUAUCUACAUGGCAUGCUACAUUUCAAAUACAUAAAGAUACCAUUGUUGUUAAUUUUAAAAAUCCACAAACUUAUCUAAAAACCUUAUAAGAAUCCAGAUAUCUUUUGCCAUUACAUAUACCAUUAGAUAAUAAAAGCACAACUUCUACCAUAUAAAGUCUGUUCCUUUUAAAAACAAAUAUACAUACAUUCAAAGGGGUUUGCAUCCACUUUUGGUAUAUAUCACAUGUGUGUAACAAUAGACUUACUUAGGCAGUCCUCUAGCUUGAGGGCUGGCACUAUGUCCCAGGUACAGUUGAGUCUCAAUUUAAAAUGUAUGAGCUUUUUGUUGAUGUUUAUUGCUUCAUUUAUUCUCCACAACAGCCCUCAAGGGUUGACAAGAGAGCUAUUGAAUUUCUCAAAAUUGACAGGGGAGAAGUACAUUGUGAAAUAUAUAGGGAAGAGACAGAAAUAAAACAAGAAAAGAAAUACACAGUGUAAUUUCAGAAAAAAAGAGAAAAUAACACACUGAACAGUCCUAUCAAAUGCAUAAUUGGAAUACCAAAAAGAGAGGAAAGAGGAAAUAAGACUGAAGAAAGUUUGAGCAGGACAAAGGGACGAUGGUGACGGUGAGGUGAGUGGAUAUCUUAGCUGGGAUGGUGACAGGGGCUGAGAACAGAAUGGCCAGAAGAAGUCAGCCAGGAGAAGUUAUGAGUGAAAAGGAUUUCAGAGAGAAAACACAACUGUAAGUGCCCAGAAGAAUAAGACUCACCAAUCAAGCCUUUUGCUUCCCCAACAUUUCCCAGUCUCUUUAAUCAACAAAGCACAAAGCUGAUUAUUAAGUGGAUCCACGUGACUACCUUUAGUGGGUCCAUAUGACUACCUUUAGCCAAUGGGCUCUGGCCAGAUGUGAUUUGUAUCCUUUCUUGGCUACAGCAUCAAAAAGCUAGCACCGGAAUGUCAAACUGUUUCUUUCUUCAGGUGACAGAGCCAGAAGGUCAAAGUAGAUUGAGUCACUGAGUUGCAACAUGAUGACAGUUGCCAUCAUGAAACAUGCAGACUCUCAGUAAACUUUAAGAGAGAAAUAAACCCUUGUGCUAUUAAGUCAUCAUAAGCUGAUCCUGACUAAUAUCACAUAGUAAGAAGUUUGGAUUUUAUUCUAAAUAUAAUAGGAAGCCAUUUGAAAUUUUGAGCAAGAGAGUGAUGAGAUCAUAUACAUGUUUAAGUGACCACUUUGCUGUGUGUAUAGUAGAUUAUGGGGAGGGGAAACAGGAGAGAGCAGAGGGCCAGUUGUAAGCCUCUUGAAGUUAACCUAGGUAUGAAAUAAUAGUAGCUUGAAAUUAGUGGUCACAGUAAAGGUGGUGAAUUGAAUUCAGGAUAUAUUUUGAAGAUAAAAUGAAAAUGGAUGGAAAUAUUCCAAGGUUUAGUGCAUGGGCACCUGAGUGAAAAGACAACAGAAUAGAAGGUAAGGUGGGUGGGGUGGUACUCAAGAGUUAUAAAGCUGUUUGGCUUGAAGAUCUCUUCCAAAGAAGAGGAAAGAAGAGGAAAGAAGAGAGAGAGAAUACUUCCUAACUCCUUUUAAAAGUCAGCAUAACCCUGAUAUCAAACCUGACAAUGAUAUUGCAAAAUACAUAGAUGUAAAAUUCCUUAAAAAAAAAAAAUUGUAAACUAAGUUCAGAAAUAGGCAAAGAGGAAAAUGCAACAUAAUAAACUUGGAUUUGCUCCAGGAUGCAAGGUUGUUCCAAUAUUCAUAUAUCUAUUAAUAUAAUUCAUUAACAAAAUAAGGGAGAAAAAUAACCUCAAUAAAUGCAGAAAAUCAUCUAAUGCAAUUCAAUUUUCAUCCAUGAUUUAAAAAUUAGGAAUAGAACUUAUUUAAUCUGAGAGGGGUAUUAUAAAAACCUAAUAACACACAUCAUACUUAAUGGUGAAAUACUGAAAACAUUUUCCCUAAGUCAAGUAUGAAAGAAGGAUGUCUUCAUUAUCCCUCUUCAUUAUCCCUUCUAUCCAUCCCUGUCCUGGAAGUCCUACCCAGCACAAUAAGCAUCAAAAGAUAAAGAAGGAGAGAGAGGAGGGGUGGGGAAGAUAUAGAUUAGGAAAGAAGAAAUAAAACCAUCAUUAUUUACAGAUAAUAUAUUUGAAUCUAUGGAAAAUCCUGAAGACUCUAUGGAUUAAUGAUUAGAAUCGAUAAGUGAAUUUAUCAAAAUCAUUGGAUGGAAUUUGAAGAUACAAAGAUCAACUAUAUUUCUAUAUGCUAGCAAUAAAAAAAUCAGAAAGUAAAAAAAUGUUAAAUGGUAGCAUUUACAAUAAUAUCACAUUCAACAAAUACCUAGAAAUAAAUCUAACAAAAGUUGUACAAGGAUAUCUCCAUGGAAAGCUACAGAACACUAUUGAAAGAAAAUAAAGAGGAUCAAAAUAAAUAAAGCGCUAUACUAUGUUCAUGGUUUGAAAGUUAAUAUCAUAGAGCUAUCAAUUAUUUGUCAAUAUGAUUCACAGGGUGAAUGUAAUUCUGAUAAAAAAAAAAAACCAGCAGAGUUUACAUUUUUGUGGAGAUUAACAAACUGAUCCUAAAGUUUUUAUGGAAUACAAAGGGAAGAGCCAAGAAUAACAAAGAUUUGAAGAACAAAGUUUGAAGGCCACCAGAUACCAAAACUUAUUAUAAAGUUGCAAUAAUUACAACCAAGUCGUAUUGCCAAUGGUGGACGAACAGGCUGAUGGAACAGAAGAUCCGGAAACAGACCAUACAGAUAUAUGAAGAUUUGGUUUAUGACAAGGGAGACACUGGAUACUAGUGAGGAUAGGAUAAUUACUUCAGUAAAUAGUGCUCAGUCUAUUGGAUAUCUACUAGAAAAUAAAGAAUUUAAUCCUUACUUCAUACUAUACACAAAAAUCAAAUCCAGAUUGUCUGUAGAUCUAACUGUGAAAUGUAAAACAAUAGAAUAUCUAGAAGGUAAAAUAGAAGGAUAUCUUCAGAGGAGGAAAAGAUUUCUUAAAUAUAACACAGAAAGGACUAAUGACAGAGAAAAAGAUUGAUAAAUUACUACACUAAAAUUAAGAACAUAUGUCCAGGGGCACCUGGGUGGCUCAGUCAAUAAGUGUCUGACUGGAGAUUUCAGCUCAGGUCAUGAUCUCACGGGUUGUAGGAUGGAGCCCCGAGUUGGGAUCCAUGCUCAGUGGAAAAUCUGCUCGAAAUUCUCUCUGUCUGCCCCUCUUCCCACUCAUGCUCACUCUCUUUCUCUCAAAUAAAUAAAACAAACUUAAAAAAAAAAAACAACGAACAUAUGUUCAUCAAAAGACACAAUUUAAAGAAAAAAAAGAAAACUCACGAAGUGGGAGAGAAUAUAUUUGAAUAUAUAUAAGCAAUGAAGGACUUUUAACUUGAAUAUUUAAGGUUUUUUUUUGUUUUUUUUGUUUUUUUUUUUUUUUUUUUGGUUUUUUUUUUUUUUAGAAGCAGGCUCCCUGCAGGGAGUCUGAUGUGGGACUCAAUCCCAGGACCCCAGGAUCACGCCCUGAGCUGAAGGCAGACGCUUAACCACUGAGCCACCCAGGUGCCCCUUAAAGAAUUUUUUUAAGUUGAUAGGCAAAAGCAUACAAACAAAUAGUGAAAUGGGCAAGAACAAUUAUAGACAACUUCACAAUAUCUAUGAAAACAUGAAAAGGUACUCAACUUAUUACUCUUCAGGCAAAUGAAAACUAAAACCACAGUGGUAUGCUGCUACAUACACCCAGAUGGCUAAACUAUUUUUUUAAAUGACAAUGUCAGCAAUUGGGAGGAUGAGAAGCAUCUAGAACUCUCACAUACUGCUGGCAGAAUGAAUUAAUACAAUCACUUAGAGAACCGUUUGAUGGUAUUUACUGUAGUCGAACAUACACGUACCCAAUACUUGAGUAAUUUCAGUCCUACAUAUACCCCAGAAAUGUACACUUGUGUGUACCAAGAAA
Molecule: long non-coding RNA, 3935 nt
Filed under: Canis lupus familiaris (dog)
Lineage: Eukaryota; Metazoa; Chordata; Mammalia; Carnivora; Canidae
Description: lncRNA (ENSCAFG00000053044.1)
Source: RNAcentral